CAGAAGGGAAAGGAGAGGAGUAAAGAGGAAAAGAGAACAGUGGUGGGUGCCUAUAAAGAGCCACACACCUUGCUGCAUGCUCUAUAUGUGGGCUAUUGUUUGUUCUCACAAUGAAUCUGAGUAGUAGAUAUAGCAUGCCCAUUUUCCAGGUAAUUGCUGAAGGAUUUUUGCUUCAAACAGGCUCCUGUUUGCAUCAAGUGUGGGGUGCAGCAAAGUGGACUCGGGACUGGCCGAUGUCUGGCCAGAAAUGCCAGGCAAGAGAAACAGUGACUCUAGUGGGGUCAGGAGAGGGGCAUCUGCUGGCCCAGGAGCCCAAGGCAGAGGGACUUCAUUGUCCCCCUUAUAGGUGAGGCGACUCUGAGGCAGGGGGUCCAAGUUUGCUGGACAAUGGCAGAAACAGAAUUCAAACACCUGUCUUCUAGGAGAAGUUCUGGUCUCUCCUCGGUGCUGCAGCUGCCCCAGG
Molecule: long non-coding RNA, 463 nt
Filed under: Pongo abelii (Sumatran orangutan)
Lineage: Eukaryota; Metazoa; Chordata; Mammalia; Primates; Hominidae
Description: lincRNA
Source: RNAcentral